Molecule: ribosomal RNA, 208 nt
Filed under: uncultured bacterium
Lineage: Bacteria
Description: partial 16S ribosomal RNA
Rfam family: Bacterial small subunit ribosomal RNA
Source: RNAcentral
UUCGUAGGUGGCUUGCUAAGUCAGACGUGAAAUCCCUCAGCUUAACUGGGGAACUGCGUCUGAGACUGGUGAGCUUGAGUGCAGGAGAGGAACGCGGAAUUCCAGGUGUAGCGGUGAAAUGCGUAGAUAUCUGGAGGAACACCGGUGGCGAAGGCGGCGUUCUGGACUGCUACUGACACUGAUGAAGAAAGCCAGGGGGAGACAAACG